This 505-nucleotide ribosomal RNA is filed under the name uncultured Glomus. Its description in RNAcentral is "SSU rRNA". It matches the Rfam family "Eukaryotic small subunit ribosomal RNA", at positions 569 to 1077 of the family's 1831-position model. The record is from RNAcentral. Lineage: Eukaryota; Fungi; Glomeromycota; Glomeromycetes; Glomerales; Glomeraceae.
AGCAGCCGCGGUAAUUCCAGCUCCAAUAGCGUAUAUUAAAGUUGUUGCAGUUAAAAAGCUCGUAGUUGAAUUUCGGGGUCAAUAAGUUGGUCAUGCCAAUGGUAUGCACUGGCUUUAUUGAUUCCUACCUCUUGACGAACUGUGAUGCCAUUAAUUUGGUGUUGCAAGGAAUCAGGACUGUUACCUUGAAAAAUUAGAGUGUUUAAAGCAAGCUUACGCUUGAAUACAUUAGCAUGGAAUAAUGAAAUAGGACGUUUGAUCCUAUUUUGUUGGUUUCUAGGAUCGACGUAAUGAUUAAUAGGGAUAGUUGGGGGCAUUAGUAUUCAAUUGUCAGAGGUGAAAUUCUUGGAUUUAUUGAAGACUAACUACUGCGAAAGCAUUUGCCAAGGAUGUUUUCAUUAAUCAAGAACGAAAGUUAGGGGAUCGAAGACGAUCAGAUACCGUCGUAGUCUUAACCAUAAACUAUGCCGACUAGGGAUCGGAUGAUGUUAAUUUUUAAUGACUC